Molecule: long non-coding RNA, 1032 nt
Filed under: Capra hircus (goat)
Lineage: Eukaryota; Metazoa; Chordata; Mammalia; Artiodactyla; Bovidae
Description: lncRNA (ENSCHIG00010031235.1)
Source: RNAcentral
UUCCCCCUCUCUGCUCCGUGUCCGUCCACUCCAAGCCCUCUCCAGGCUUCAGCCCUUCCUUCUGCUUCUCAACACCGCCUCCAUGUGCCUGCUGAACCCCCCUUGCCAGCGACGGUCGCCCGCCCUCCUGCUCCCACCUCGAACCCCUCCAAGCCCCACGCCCUUCCCCCAGCUAGAGCUGCCAGAUAAAAUUACAGGAUGCCCAGUUAGAUUUUAAUUUCAGAAGAAGAAUCCCUUUUUGGCCUAGUUUUUAAUUUCAGACGAGUAAUCAAUAAUUUUUAAUAUAAGUAUUUCAGUUCCAAUUCAGUCGCUCAGUCGUGUCCGACUCUGCGAGUAUGGCCCGCGCAAUACUCAGGACACACGUAUACUCAGUAAGUGCGGGUUAUUCAUCUGAAAUGCGAGUUUAACGGGGCGUCUUGCGUUUUUAUCCACUAAAUCUGGCGCCCUACCCCACGCCGCCCGCUCCUCCUCGCGUGGCUCCGCACUGCGAGAGCCCGCCNNNNNNNNNNNNNNNNNNNNNNCCUGGUGUGGCCGCGUGCGCCCUGCUCAGCUCGUGCGCCCCUCCUCUCUCGCGCUGUUCCUGCUGGGUCCCCUGCCUCUCGCCCCGGAGUGCCUGGCUCGCGCGCCUCUUCCCCGAGCGCUCCAUCCUCGGACCGCCCUCCCAGGCCCCGCGCAAGUGAUUUCUUUGUUACAAAGCUGUAUCACUCAAGAAGAUGAGAAGACAAGCCACAGACUGGGAGAAAAUAUUUGCAAAAGACGUAUCUGAUAAUGAAUUAUUAUCCAAAACAUACAAAGAACUCUUAAAACUCAACAAGAAAACAAACAAUUGGAUUUAAAAAUGAGCCAAAGAAGAACUACAGAUGGCAAAUAGCAUAUGAAGAGAUACUCCGCAUCAUGUCAUUAAGGAAAUGCAAAUUAAAGCAAUGAGCUACGACUACACCUCUGAAUAUUCAUCAGAACGACUGAUACAGAAGCUGAAGCACCAAUACUUUGGCCACCUGAUGCGAAGAACUGACUCACUGAAAAAGACCC